Long non-coding RNA from Asparagus officinalis (garden asparagus), 1379 nucleotides. RefSeq lists it as uncharacterized. NCBI's taxonomy places the organism in Eukaryota, Viridiplantae, Streptophyta, Magnoliopsida, Asparagales, Asparagaceae. The transcript is spliced from 3 exons. The record is from RefSeq and is a predicted model, not a curated record.
UCGGAGACAUCUGAUAAAAUUGGAACGAUACAGAGAAGAUUAGCAUGGCCCCUGCGCAAGGAUGACACGCACAAAUCGAGAAAUGGUCCAAAUUUUUUUUGCAAUCUCGCCGGUGAUAUUGCGACCCUCGAACCCUAGAAUCUUCAAAAAUCCCCCCCCAAACUUCGUCUAUUGCGAUCUUCAAACCCUAGAAUUUUAAAAUUGCCUCGUAAAUUAGGUGAAGAGUUCUCUUUUCUGGUCUAUACCCUAAUACUGAAAGAAAACCUCAUUGCUGCUGCCAAUCCCAAAAAUUGUAUUUGCAGUGAAUACUCGACAGGACGCAGUGCUUGCUGUCAUGGAUCAGUGGCGGUUUUGCACACUGAAGUAUUUUUCAUCACGUUCUGUUCCUUUAGAAUUCUUCCAAAGGCGAUGCUGACCCAACCAUCAGCCAAUCCUUCUUGCCCCGACUCCGAUCCCUCUGCGGCCAGAUCCGCUAUGCCUUUGGGCAUGUUGCUCUGGACGCUGGAAACGUGACGGAUUUCAAUGCGAGCUACUUCAAUAAUCGGAGGGAUGACAGGGUGUGCUGAAGUCCGAUCAGAGUCUCUGGGAGGAUGCCACGACACAACAUACUGUCUGGAAUUAUGCUGGGAACAUUAGAGAGUUGCUUGGUUUGAGGAUUAGCUAUGAUUUCCCGAAGGCCAUGGUCAAGCAGCAUGGGGGUGAAUACUGGGAAGCAAGGGGAAGUUAAAAAGAAAUAUUCCAAGUUUAACUGAGAAGAUGCGAGUAUUGAAUAAGAGAUUGGUUGUCUGAGAUUCCAGUUUAUAUUGGGAAACUUUUGGAAUGUCUAACUGGUUACAUAAUUAAGAUUUGCUAACCUUUCAUUGGUACAAGGGAGCCAUAAUAUAAAGCAAAUAGUAUACAGGUGGAUACAUGUUAUAUUAGGGAAAAAGGUUGCACACUUAUUAUUAUUAUUAUUAUUAUUAUUAUUAUUAUUGUUUGGCUUCUUGGUUUGCAAAUACCAUCAUCAUCUUUUAUUUCUCCACAUCUGAGUAUGAUGUCUUUAAUGUACGCAUAAAUCCAUUCCAAUUAAGCAAAUGCCUGCUUCGUUCUUCUGAAAAGUUAAUACUGGAAGUUAUUGUUGCCGUAAUGGAGAUACCAUGAUAACAAAUAAUCUUAUUAUAAUUUUUCUAUAAGAAUAACCUUUCACUAAAGGGGGCCUAAUUGCUUCCUGGUAUGGUUUUAAUUCUCUUCUAUGGCGUCUCCGAUAAACACUGGUUGAAUAAAUAGUCCUUCAGGAUUGAGCACAUACCAACUCCAGCAAAUAGAAGGAUAAUUUGGGUCAACUUCUGAUUUUAUCCCACAUCAUCUGAUUUCAUGAUGUUAAUAGUUUUAUUAUUAAA